This is a small nuclear RNA of Callithrix jacchus (white-tufted-ear marmoset), 107 nucleotides long. The record is from Ensembl. NCBI's taxonomy places the organism in Eukaryota, Metazoa, Chordata, Mammalia, Primates, Cebidae.
GUGCUCGCUUCAGCAGAACAUAUACUAAAAUUGGAAAGAUACAGAGAAGAUUCACAUGGCCCCUGUGCAAGGAUGACACUCAAAUUCGCUAACCACUCCAUGUUUUU